This 478-nucleotide ribosomal RNA is filed under the name uncultured organism. RNAcentral describes it as "partial 16S ribosomal RNA". It matches the Rfam family "Bacterial small subunit ribosomal RNA", at positions 331 to 800 of the family's 1533-position model. The record is from RNAcentral.
GUACACUCCUACGGGAGGCAGCAGUGGGGAAUUUUGGACAAUGGGCGAAAGCCUGAUCCAGCAAUGCCGCGUGAGUGAAGAAGGCCUUCGGGUUGUAAAGCUCUUUUGUCAGGGAAGAAACGGUGAGAGCUAAUAUCUUUUGCUAAUGACGGUACCUGAAGAAUAAGCACCGGCUAACUACGUGCCAGCAGCCGCGGUAAUACGUAGGGUGCAAGCGUUAAUCGGAAUUACUGGGCGUAAAGCGUGCGCAGGCGGUUUUGUAAGUCUGAUGUGAAAUCCCCGGGCUCAACCUGGGAAUUGCAUUGGAGACUGCAAGGCUAGAAUCUGGCAGAGGGGGGUAGAAUUCCACGUGUAGCAGUGAAAUGCGUAGAUAUGUGGAGGAACACCGAUGGCGAAGGCAGCCCCCUGGGUCAAGAUUGACGCUCAUGCACGAAAGCGUGGGGAGCAAACAGGAUUAGAAACCCUGGUAGUCCCAUGA